This 254-nucleotide ribosomal RNA is filed under the name uncultured bacterium. Its description in RNAcentral is "partial 16S ribosomal RNA". It matches the Rfam family "Bacterial small subunit ribosomal RNA", at positions 524 to 776 of the family's 1533-position model. The record is from RNAcentral.
UACAGAGGGUGCAAGCGUUGUUCGGAAUUAUUGGGCGUAAAGGGUGCGUAGGCGGUUUGGUAAGUCUGAUGUGAAAUCUAUGGGCUCAACUCAUAGUCUGCAUCGGAAACUGCCGGGCUUGAGUGUGGGAGAGGUGAGUGGAAUUCCUGGUGUAGCGGUGAAAUGCGUAGAUAUCAGGAGGAACACCUGUGGCGAAAGCGGCUCACUGGACCAUAACUGACGCUGAUGCACGAAAAGCUAGGGGAGCAAACAGG